Molecule: long non-coding RNA, 4643 nt
Filed under: Olea europaea (common olive)
Lineage: Eukaryota; Viridiplantae; Streptophyta; Magnoliopsida; Lamiales; Oleaceae
Description: long non-coding RNA (OEUR_LNC003562)
Source: RNAcentral
AAAAAAAAGAGGAAAGAUAAAACCCAAACACGUCUCACAGGUCACAUUAAUAACAAAACCCUAAAAGUCUAAAACAUAAUUCCAAUUUCCAAGUUUCUCCGUCUCUCACUCUUUGACUCUCUCUCGCCGCGACGCCGCUGUCUCUGAAGCUUCAGUCAACUUCAAGUGUCGCCGGACGAUUAAAGGUAUUUUUCAUAUUGGCUUCAUUGUUCUUUUAUAGUUGCGAACAUUCUCACCUCAAAGUCCUAACCCAUACACAAACCCGAUUCUUCGAUGUCUUCAGGAAAAUUCGAAUUGGAAAGGGGAAAUUAUAGAUAGUGUUAGUUUGAUCCUCAAAUUUUGAAGACUCACAGUUUGGCUGAAUUUAUUGGGAGAAAUUGAGGGGUAUUGGAACUCUAAUGGCAACAAAUUCAAACCAAUUGAUGAUUCAACAAAUCCUAUAAAUAAGGAAAAUCCAAAUCAGCACGAAGAUCCAUCAGCUUUUUCAAAACAGAUUUUAUGGAAUAAUAUGUUAACAAAGCAUAUUUUACGGGACAAUAUGUUAACAAAACAGAUUUUAUGGGAGCAGAUCUUAUAGAAUUAUAUGCAGAUUUUAUGGAUUCAUAAUUUUUUUUGAUUUACAGCUACAUUAUGUAAUUUGCUUAAAAUACUCUCCUUUGUAUUGCCUAAGUGUUCACAUUGCAAUCAUUGAAAAUAAGAAACAUUAGCUUUCAGAACAAACAUGUGUAUUUUUUUCAGUUUCUCCUUAAUGCCUUCUUCUUGCGUGGGAACCUGUGUUUACUGCUUUACUUAUUUAUAGUGAACAACAAAGUUUCAACAUCUUUUUGACGAUGCUUCUCUGAUAUCAGGCUCUUACUGACAUAUUGAAAACAAACCAAACCUUACAAUCUGCAAUUUUUUAGUCUAAAAAUGAUGUAAUAAAAGGAUAUACACUUGGUUAACCUUUGUUAUAGUCAAAACUCAAAACCCAUAAUUUUCCAUUUCAAAAGUUCAUAUAUAUCUGUUCUUCUAUGGAAUUUUGCAGAUUAUUUUUGCUGAUUUGAUCCAUACUGGCUCAUCUUGAUUUUCUUUUUCUCUUGGGGUUUCAAAGAUAAUUUGUCUUACUGUUGUUGCUUAUAAUUGUAUUUCCUUUAGAUUACAUGUUUUUAGAGAUAAUCUGUUAGCUGAACAUAGAAAUUAUGUUGAAUCCUCAUCUUCUGUUGAUUGCCUGUUUCUCUGUGGUGCACGGCUAAUGAUUUACAAUUAUGACAGAUGCUAAGAUGUUAUUAUCAGAAAUGGAAAGUCUAUUUUAAGAGGAAGAAACUGGGGAUUUCUAUGCUUAAUAGUUUAAAACAAAUUUUAGCUCAAGCACCUUGGAUCUUAUGCAUGUUAAAUUUAUUGAAUCUGUCUGAAAUUGGCCGCGGAUAUUUAGAUAAUUGGUCGAGGUUUUUAGUACAGCAUGUGUGUGGCUUAGAUCUUAGUUUUAGACAUGAUCUUGAGGUGCUGUUACCAUGCUUGUUAAGAGCUUAAUCAAAUUGAACCCACUUCUUUCCUCUUGAUAGCAGAUAGACCUAUUUUUACCUGUACUGGUGGAUGAUCGAAGAGUUGGGGUGUCGUUACCAUGUUUAUGCAGAGAAAUAAGAAUAGCCAUCGUAUUGGAUUUGGAAACUACUUUUUGCUCAGGAGAAUGUUCUGUUUCACUAGUAUACAUUUAAAUGCAACCUCCUGGUCACAAAAAAUAAUUACUACUCUAGCUGGGCUUCCAAGUUCACAAGUAGAUAUCCACUUGGUAAUCAAGUAUUCAUUCAGAAAAAAUUAAAGACUGAUUAAUUCAAUUUCUUAGCUAUUUAUAUCCAUAUACAUGCAUAGCUAAUAUAAUGUUUUUUUAAAUCACAUACAUGCGCCUCCGAUUUUUAGUUUGUUUUACUUCAAUUUUGUUUCUUAUGGAUGAUUCAGGAAUUCAACUACGCCAGCUAUAUACUGCGUAUCUUGGUUUAUUGUUGUUCAGGGGAAAGAUUUAGCCCCUGUUGACAUAUGAGCAUAUCUAUAUUUUAAUCUGCUAUUGUUAGAAUCACAAAUAUGAAUCAUGUUGACCUUUCUGAAGAAGAAAAUUAUCUUGAGCCAAAUGUAGUUGUUGAUAGUGUAGAAGUUGAUCAAUACCCAGAUUCCGCUAAGGGUAAAAAGGGAAGUAAAAGAUCUGAUGUUUGGGAUCAUUUUAAACUGCAUGAUGAAAAGGCAGAGUGUAUUUACUGUGGGCAACUUUACAAGUAUGGCAACAAAAAUGCAGGGACUAGUACAUUGCGAAACCAUAUUGAGUGCUUAUGUAAGAAAUAUCCAUAUAGGGUUCCAGAGAAAAAGCAAAAGACUAUGAGUUAUUACACUAAAUCUAAAAAUGAUGUUUUAGAAGGCAUUACUAGUUCUGGACAAGUUGUUAAGUUCACUCAAAAAGGGAUUAGAGAAAUGAUUGCUAAGUACUUCUUAUUGGCAGAGUUACCAUUUAGACAUGUACAAGAUGAAGGUUUUCGAUUAUAUGCAAAGUAUUUUUUUCCAACAUUUGAAUUUCCUUCAAGAGUUAUAGUGGCAAAAGAUAUAUAUCAAUUGUACCUUGAUGAAAAGAAGAAACUGAAGAAAGAAUUGAGUAGACAUAGGGUUUGUUUAACUACUGAUUGUUGGACAUCCAUUCAAAAUAUUAGUUACAUGUGUUUGACUGUUCAUUGGGUUGAUGAUGACUGGAUCCUUCAAAAACGUAUUAUAAGCUUCAUUCAAGUCCCCAGUCUUAAGGGUAAUAUGGUGGCUAAGGAGUUAAUUUCUUGUCUUCAUGAUUGGGGAAUUAAAAAGAUUUUUUGUGUGACUGUUGAUAACGCCUCAUCUAAUGAUGUUGCAAUAUCGAAAUUGAAAGAGAGUUUUCAGGAGACUAAACAUGGUCUAAUUCUUGAUGGAGAAAUGCUUCAUAUGAGGUGUUGUGCUCAUAUUCUCAAUCUCAUUGUUUGUGAUGGUCUAAAAGAAAUUAGUAGUUCUAUUUCAUCAAUUCGCAAUGCUGUAAGGUUUACUAGGUCUUCCCGGGCACGAUUGAAAAGGUUCAGGGAGAGUUGCAACGAGGUUAACAUCGAGUCUCGAGUUUUGUUGUGUUUAGAUGUGACUACUAGAUGGAAUUCUACCUACUUGAUGUUAGACACUGCAAUGAUAUUUAGAAAAGCAUUUGGUGCUUUAGAAAGUAAUGCAAAUUACACAAAGUACUUUGAUGAAGAGAGAAUAGGCGAUGAAAGAAGGGGUUCACCCACUCCAUUCGAUUGGGAUCAAGCACAAAUUUUUGUGAAGUUUCUUAAAACAUUCUAUGAUAUGACAUUGAAAGUUAGUGACUCUUUAUAUGUAACAUCUAACACUUUUUUUCAAGAGCUUUGUGAAAUUCAUGGGGAGUUGAAUGAAUUAGCUAAAGAUCCUAAUAGUUUGAUGGGAAAAAUGGCUAUUAGCAUGCGAAGAAAACAUGAUAAGUAUUGGGGCAAUCAUGAAAAGUUUAAUGACUUGUUAUUCAUAGCAACAGUUUUUGACCCGAGAUGCAAGUUGGAAUUACUUAAAGUUGGCUUUGAAAUCAUGUAUAAUGAAGAAAUUGCUAAGAAAAUGUUAGCAAAAGUAGAAAAUUCAAUUCACAGGUUAUAUAACUGCUACAAGGAAAUGAUGCCUCCACCAUCAAAUGAGAUGUCUCAAACUAGUAGUCAAAGUCAACAACCUACUUUGGGUAUUUCUAGACCCAUCCCUUCAAUCUUUAAAGCGAGACUUAAUCGAGAUGCUAGGUUGUAGAAAAAUGAUUUGGUAGAUUACUUGUCCGACCGAUGCGAUGAUUUGACUGAGGAGCCAUUCGACAUUUUGAUGUGGUGGAAAAUAAAUGCUCCUAAGUAUAAGAUUGUCUCCCAAAUUGCCAAAAAUGUAUUAGCGAUUCAAAUUUCUACAGUUGCUUCUGAGUCUGCAUUCUCUACUGGAGGUCGGAUACUUGAUUCCUUCAGGAGUUCAUUAGGUGCACGGAUGGUUGAGGCUUGUAUAUGUGGAAAGAAUUGGUUGCAAGCUAAGAAGGAACAUAUAGUGCUGCGCCAAUAUUUAGAUGAAGUGGAGGCAUUGGAUGAUUCAAUGAAAGUUGUGGCAGGUGAUUUAUAUUUUCUAUUACCAUAGUUUUGAAGAUUCUCUUAUCUAUCUGGUAUCUAAUACUAUGAUCAUGCAAUGAAUGGAUUUGUUUGACUAUGCAGACGAUGAAUCAUGCGUGACAACAAUUGAUGUUUGAGUAUAUGCGAGAAAUUGAGUUCGUAACAACAUACAACCGUAAACUUGUAUAAUUGUUAUGUUUAGAUAUUAUAAAUAACUUUUUUAAUAUUGUGGUUGGUUAUUCUCUCUGUCUAAUCAAUAGCCUUUUUUCUUGCAGAUAUGAUGAUCACGAUUUGGACAUCAUUCAUGUUUUUGGCUUUAUAAUUAAUUUAGUAGACUUUUAUUGUAACGGUAUGGUAAUGCCAUUAGCUUAAAAAUGGUGAACAAAAAACUAUGUUUAAGUUUAUUGUGAUUUUCCUUUGAUUUAGUUGGUACUUAAAUUUAUAGUAGAUAUAUCUAGUUUGUUUUAGAUUUAUUGCUAGUAACUAGUAAGAUAUAAAUAUAUAUUGAAUUAAUGGCGUAAAAGUAGA